RNAcentral lists this ribosomal RNA (253 nucleotides) under uncultured bacterium. Its description in RNAcentral is "partial 16S ribosomal RNA". It matches the Rfam family "Bacterial small subunit ribosomal RNA", at positions 524 to 776 of the family's 1533-position model. The record is from RNAcentral.
UACAGAGGUCUCAAGCGUUGUUCGGAUUCAUUGGGCGUAAAGGGUGCGUAGGCGGCGCGGUAAGUCGGGUGUGAAAUCCUGGAGCUCAACUCCAGAACUGCCUUUGAUACUGAGAAGCUUGAGUCCGGGAGAGGUGAGUGGAACUGCGAGUGUAGAGGUGAAAUUCGUAGAUAUUCGCAAGAACACCAGUGGCGAAGGCGGGUCUCUGGACAGUUCCUGACGCUGAGGCACGAAGGUCAGGGGAGCAAACGGG